CUUCAGAGAAAUAAUUUAGUACAAUGCAUACAUUAAUAUACAAAACAUGAUUAUUCUGUCUACUGCCAAAAAAUAAAGUCACAGUGCUGCCUGAAUUAAACACCAAUAAUCUGUAUGUUUUAUGAUUACACAUUUUAUGGGUCAUCGAUAGUCCUCUGUCUGAAAACUCUCGUCCUAAGCAAAGGUGAAAUAUUUAAAUUCCAC
Non-coding RNA from Pelobates cultripes (western spadefoot toad), 204 nucleotides. Lineage: Eukaryota; Metazoa; Chordata; Amphibia; Anura; Pelobatidae. The record is from the annotation of a GenBank genome assembly.